CCAUUCGGAGGUAUUACCAAUAUGAGGCGGGCUGGACCUCUCGGGGUUACAGCCUUGCUGAAUUAUUCACCCUUGUCUUUUGCGUACUUCUUGUUUCCUUGGUGGGUUCGCCCACCACUAGGACAAACAUAAACCUUUUGUAAUUGCAAUCAGCGUCAGUAACAAAUUAAUAAUUACAACUUUCAACAACGGAUCUCUUGGUUCUGGCAUCGAUGAAGAACGCAGCGAAAUGCGAUAAGUAGUGUGAAUUGCAGAAUUCAGUGAAUCAUCGAAUCUUUGAACGCACAUUGCGCCCUUUGGUAUUCCAAAGGGCAUGCCUGUUCGAGCGUCAUUUGUACCCUCAAGCUUUGCUUGGUGUUGGGCGUCUUGUCUCUAGCUUUGCUGGAGACUCGCCUUAAAGUAAUUGGCAGCCGGCCUACUGGUUUCGGAGCGCAGCACAAGUCGCACUCUCUAUCAGCAAAGGUCUAGCAUCCAUUAAGCCUUUUUUUCAACUUUUGACCUCGGAUCAGGUAGGGAUACCCGCUGAACUUAAGCAUAUCAAUAAGCGGAGGAAUA
Molecule: ribosomal RNA, 555 nt
Filed under: Alternaria sp. OUCMBI101236
Lineage: Eukaryota; Fungi; Ascomycota; Dothideomycetes; Pleosporales; Pleosporaceae
Description: eukaryotic LSU rRNA
Rfam family: 5.8S ribosomal RNA (bases 178-331)
Source: RNAcentral